This 341-nucleotide ribosomal RNA is filed under the name uncultured bacterium. Its description in RNAcentral is "partial 16S ribosomal RNA". It matches the Rfam family "Bacterial small subunit ribosomal RNA", at positions 527 to 866 of the family's 1533-position model. The record is from RNAcentral.
GNAGGGAGCAAGCGUUAUCCGGANUUANNGGGUGUAAAGGGUGCGUAGACGGGAAGACAAGUUGGUNGUGAAAGCCCUCGGCNCAACUGAGGAACUGCAACCAAAACNAUCAUNCUUGAGUGCAGGAGAGGAAAGCGGAAUCACCGGUGUAGCGGUGAGANGCGUAGAGAUCGGUAGGAACACCAGUGGCGAAGGCGGCUUUCUGGACUGAAACUGACGCUGAGGCGCGAAAGCGUGGGGAGCAAACAGGAUUAGAUACCCUGGUAGUCCACGCGGUAAACGAUGAAUGCUAGGUGUAGGAGGCAUCGACCCCUUCUGUGCCGCAGUAAACACAAUAAGCA